Molecule: ribosomal RNA, 253 nt
Filed under: uncultured bacterium
Lineage: Bacteria
Description: partial 16S ribosomal RNA
Rfam family: Bacterial small subunit ribosomal RNA
Source: RNAcentral
GACGUAGGGGGCGAGCGUCAUCCGGAAUUACUGGGCGUAAAGCGCAUGCAGGCGGUCUUUCAAGUUCCUGAUGACAGUCAUCGGCUUAACCGGUGAAGUAUGGGGAAAACUGGGAGACUUGAGAACGAGAGAGGGAUACGGAACUCCGAGUGGAGCAGUGAAAUGCGUAGAUAUUCGGAAGAACACCAAAGGCGAAGGCAGUAUCCUGGCUCGUGUCUGACGCUCAAGUGCGAAAGCGAGGGGAGCGAACGGG